This 357-nucleotide ribosomal RNA is filed under the name Triticum aestivum (bread wheat). Its description in RNAcentral is "partial small subunit ribosomal RNA". Lineage: Eukaryota; Viridiplantae; Streptophyta; Magnoliopsida; Poales; Poaceae. The record is from RNAcentral.
GAAACGAUCAAUCACCUACUCCUUGGAUGUGUUCUCGCUCGACAAAUAUGGUCCGUCAUUAUGGGUAACUGGGGAAAGCCUCACUGGACUCUAGAGCCGGAGGCUGAGCUAGUUCGAUGGUGGACUUCCCUUAGCAUCGAGGAGACUAAGAGGAAGGAAACAUGGAAAGUGAUCACUUUAGUGGCUUGGACAUUGUGGAAGCAUAGGAACGACAUCGUGUUCAAUGGAGCUUCCCCAUUUGUCAGUACGGUCCUCCGGCAGAUCAAGGCGGAGGGACAGAACUGGAGGGCUGCAACCCUGUUGAGGGUGGCAGGAUCACUCCCAGCUAGGUUAGAUCUGUUGAGUGGUAGCGAGUAG